UACGUAGGUGGCAAGCGUUAUCCGGAUUCACUGGGUUUAAAGGGUGCGUAGGCGGAUUGGUAAGUCCGUGGUGAAAUCUCCAAGCUUAACUUGGAAACUGCCGUGGAUACUAUCAAUCUUGAAUAUCGUGGAGGUAAGCGGAAUAUGUCAUGUAGCGGUGAAAUGCUUAGAGAUGACAUAGAACACCAAUUGCGUAGGCAGCUUACUACACGAUAAUUGACGCUGAGGCACGAAAGCGUGGGGAGCAAACAGG
This 253-nucleotide ribosomal RNA is filed under the name uncultured bacterium. RNAcentral describes it as "partial 16S ribosomal RNA". It matches the Rfam family "Bacterial small subunit ribosomal RNA", at positions 524 to 776 of the family's 1533-position model. The record is from RNAcentral.